Long non-coding RNA from Lutra lutra (Eurasian river otter), 302 nucleotides. RefSeq lists it as uncharacterized. The transcript is spliced from 3 exons. The record is from RefSeq and is a predicted model, not a curated record. NCBI's taxonomy places the organism in Eukaryota, Metazoa, Chordata, Mammalia, Carnivora, Mustelidae.
AACUGAGGCACAGGGGUUUUAGUACCUUGCCCAAAGUCACCUAGCUCAUAAGUGAUGGAGUUAGAAUUUUCAUGGAGCCUAAAUUUCUGAACCCAGCAUCAAGGCUCUUCCCACCUGGACCACAGCCUUCCUUAAUGUUCUCAAAACACUCUCCUCCUCAUCGCGACCACCCUUGAGAACUUCCGACUAUGCACCAUGCAGGUUCUUGCCUUUGUUUCCUGCUUUCCAAUGUGAUUUGGUGCAUGUGUAGUCGGGAAUCUGACCCGCCCAAAGUGACGUUCAGCCUCUGUUCCAGAUUCCAG